This 42-nucleotide non-coding RNA is filed under the name Trypanosoma brucei brucei. Lineage: Eukaryota; Euglenozoa; Kinetoplastea; Trypanosomatida; Trypanosomatidae. The record is from RNAcentral.
AAAACAAUACUGGAUAUAUCGUAGUGAGACAUAGAAAUUAAU